GAUGAACGCUGGCGGCGUGCCUAACACAUGCAAGUCGAGCGAGGGUUUGCUCAGUAUUGAGUAUUCUAAAACUAGAAUGUUCAAUUCUGAGCAAAACCAAGCGGCGGACGGGUGAGUAACGCGUGGGUAACCUGCCCUAUACACAUGGAUAACAUACUGAAAAGUUUACUAAUACAUGAUAAUAUAUAUUUGCGGCAUCGCAGAUAUAUCAAAGUGUUAGCGGUAUAGGAUGGACCCGCGUCUGAUUAGCUAGUUGGUGAGAUAACUGCCCACCAAGGCGACGAUCAGUAGCCGACCUGAGAGGGUGAUCGGCCACAUUGGAACUGAGACACGGUCCAAACUCCUACGGGAGGCAGCAGUGGGGAAUAUUGCACAAUGGGCGAAAGCCUGAUGCAGCAACGCCGCGUGAACGAUGAAGGUCUUCGGAUCGUAAAGUUCUGUUGCAGGGGAAGAUAAUGACGGUACCCUGUGAGGAAGCCCCGGCUAACUACGUGCCAGCAGCCGCGGUAAUACGUAGGGGGCUAGCGUUAUCCGGAUUUACUGGGCGUAAAGGGUGCGUAGGUGGUCCUUCAAGUCGGUGGUUAAAGGCUACGGCUCAACCGUAGUAAGCCGCCGAAACUGGAGGACUUGAGUGCAGGAGAGGAAAGUGGAAUUCCCAGUGUAGCGGUGAAAUGCGUAGAUAUUGGGAGGGACACCAGUAGCGAAGGCGGCUUUCUGGACUGCAACUGACACUGAGGCACGAAAGCGUGGGUAGCAAACAGG
Molecule: ribosomal RNA, 762 nt
Filed under: uncultured Peptostreptococcus sp.
Lineage: Bacteria; Bacillati; Bacillota; Clostridia; Peptostreptococcales; Peptostreptococcaceae
Description: bacterial SSU rRNA
Rfam family: Bacterial small subunit ribosomal RNA
Source: RNAcentral